RNAcentral lists this transfer RNA (73 nucleotides) under Bos taurus (domestic cattle). It matches the Rfam family "tRNA". From Rfam's summary of the family: Transfer RNA (tRNA) molecules are approximately 80 nucleotides in length. Their secondary structure includes four short double-helical elements and three loops (D, anti-codon, and T loops). Further hydrogen bonds mediate the characteristic L-shaped molecular structure. tRNAs have two regions of fundamental functional importance: the anti-codon, which is responsible for specific mRNA codon recognition, and the 3' end, to which the tRNAs corresponding amino acid is attached (by aminoacyl-tRNA synthetases). tRNAs cope with the degeneracy of the genetic code in two manners: having more than one tRNA (with a specific anti-codon) for a particular amino acid; and 'wobble' base-pairing, i.e. permitting non-standard base-pairing at the 3rd anti-codon position. Lineage: Eukaryota; Metazoa; Chordata; Mammalia; Artiodactyla; Bovidae. RNAcentral also lists the same sequence under 2 other names. The record is from Rfam by way of RNAcentral.
UCCCUGCUGGUCCAGUGGUUAAGACUCUGCACUCCCUAUGCAGAGGCCACGGGUUCAAUCCCUGGUCAGGGAA